This is a transfer RNA of Loxodonta africana (African savanna elephant), 73 nucleotides long. It matches the Rfam family "tRNA". Rfam says of the family: Transfer RNA (tRNA) molecules are approximately 80 nucleotides in length. Their secondary structure includes four short double-helical elements and three loops (D, anti-codon, and T loops). The record is from Rfam. Lineage: Eukaryota; Metazoa; Chordata; Mammalia; Proboscidea; Elephantidae.
GCCUGGGUAGCUCAGUUGGAAGAGCAUCAGGCUUUUAAUCUGAGGGUCCAAGGUUCAAGCCCCUGUUCAGGCA